This 499-nucleotide ribosomal RNA is filed under the name Escherichia coli. RNAcentral's name for it is "bacterial SSU rRNA". It matches the Rfam family "Bacterial small subunit ribosomal RNA", at positions 81 to 576 of the family's 1533-position model. Lineage: Bacteria; Pseudomonadati; Pseudomonadota; Gammaproteobacteria; Enterobacterales; Enterobacteriaceae. The record is from RNAcentral.
UUCUUUGCUGACGAGUGGCGGACGGGUGAGUAAUGUCUGGGAAACUGCCUGAUGGAGGGGGAUAACUACUGGAAACGGUAGCUAAUACCGCAUAACGUCGCAAGACCAAAGAGGGGGACCUUCGGGCCUCUUGCCAUCGGAUGUGCCCAGAUGGGAUUAGCUAGUAGGUGGGGUAACGGCUCACCUAGGCGACGAUCCCUAGCUGGUCUGAGAGGAUGACCAGCCACACUGGAACUGAGACACGGUCCAGACUCCUACGGGAGGCAGCAGUGGGGAAUAUUGCACAAUGGGCGCAAGCCUGAUGCAGCCAUGCCGCGUGUAUGAAGAAGGCCUUCGGGUUGUAAAGUACUUUCAGCGGGGAGGAAGGGAGUAAAGUUAAUACCUUUGCUCAUUGACGUUACCCGCAGAAGAAGCACCGGCUAACUCCGUGCCAGCAGCCGCGGUAAUACGGAGGGUGCAAGCGUUAAUCGGAAUUACUGGGCGUAAAGCGCACGCAGGC